UAUUUGUUUACACACUACUCUUAGCGUUGCCACCUGGCCGGUAUUUAUUUGAGGCUGUCUGGCCAGUGCCGAUAUUGCAGUAAUACUGGCAAUACAAAUGCCGGUAUUUUUCUCAGUAUAAACAGAGAUUACUCUGCAAUACUAUCACCGGUCAGUAGGGGUCGCUGUGUGUGUGGAGAGAGGCAGGGAUAGGAAGUUACAGCAUAUACCUGCAUUUCUCUACUCACUGAUCCACGGGGGAGCAGCUACACAGCACAGAAAGUCCAAACAGCAGCUUCCAGUCUGCAGAGACAGCUUACAGCUCAGGGAAGUGAGGGAUGGGGUAAAGGCUGCAGGGAGACAUGGGGACACUGAG
Non-coding RNA from Pelobates cultripes (western spadefoot toad), 355 nucleotides. The record is from the annotation of a GenBank genome assembly. NCBI's taxonomy places the organism in Eukaryota, Metazoa, Chordata, Amphibia, Anura, Pelobatidae.